This 539-nucleotide ribosomal RNA is filed under the name uncultured archaeon. RNAcentral's name for it is "bacterial SSU rRNA". It matches the Rfam family "Archaeal small subunit ribosomal RNA", at positions 460 to 997 of the family's 1478-position model. The record is from RNAcentral.
AGCCGCCGCGGGAACACCGGCGGCCCGAGUGGUGAUCGUGAUUAUUGGGUCUAAAGGGUCCGUAGCCGGUUUGGUCAGUCCUCCGGGAAAUCUGAUAGCUCAACUAUUAGGCUUUCGGGGGAUACUGCCAGACUUGGAACCGGGAGAGGUAAGAGGUACUACAGGGGUAGGAGUGAAAUCUUGUAAUCCCUGUGGGACCACCUGUGGCGAAGGCGUCUUACCAGAACGGGUUCGACGGUGAGGGACGAAAGCUGGGGGCACGAACCGGAUUAGAUACCCGGGUAGUCCCAGCCGUAAACGAUGCUCGCUAGGUGUCAGGCAUGGCGCGACCGUGUCUGGUGCCGCAGGGAAGCCGUGAAGCGAGCCACCUGGGAAGUACGGCCGCAAGGCUGAAACUUAAAGGAAUUGGCGGGGGAGCACAACAACGGGUGGAAGCCUGCGGUUUAAUUGGACUCAACGCCGGACAACUCACCGGGGGCGACAGCAAUAUGUAGGCCAAGCUGAAGACUUUGCCUGAAUCGCUGAGAAGUGGUGCAUGG